This 428-nucleotide long non-coding RNA is filed under the name Gallus gallus (chicken). Lineage: Eukaryota; Metazoa; Chordata; Aves; Galliformes; Phasianidae. The record is from RNAcentral.
CACGUCUGGUAGGUACUGCCCCAACCCUGCGUCAUGAACGCCUGAGGACCAUUUUGAUGAGGUGUAGUGGGUGCUUGGUUGAACGGACUCUGACCAAAUCCUCCAGGUCCACCCAUGCUGGUACCACCAACUUUCUCAUCUAUGAGAUGUCUAGCAAGUUCAAUCUGCUGGGGAACUCCUCUGAUUGUGAAUAUUCGUACACCAGGGUCUGUGUUCGGAGGUGGGUUUCUCUGCAGCUCCACGUGGGCUCCUGACUGCUGAUUUAUGCUCUUGAUGUUCUCACCACCUUUGCCUAUAACGAGACCGCACUUGUCAGCUGGCACCGUGUAGGUUAUUUCCUGCAUGCCCCCAGGUGUUCCAACACUCCAGUCCCCACGGCCACGACCUCUUCCCCGGGCUACAGCCAAACUUCCAAAGCCAUCUCGUUC